AGGACGAACGCUGGCGGCGUGCUUAACACAUGCAAGUCGAGCGGAAAGGCCCUUCGGGGUACUCGAGCGGCGAACGGGUGAGUAACACGUGAGUAAUCUGCCCCUAGCUCUGGGAUAGCUCCGGGAAACCGGGAUUAAUACCGGAUACGACCACCUUAGACAUCUUUUGUGGUGGAAAGAAUUUCGGCUAGGGAUGAGCUCGCGGCCUAUCAGCUUGUUGGUGGGGUAACGGCCUACCAAGGCGACGACGGGUAGCCGGCCUGAGAGGGCGACCGGCCACACUGGGACUGAGACACGGCCCAGACUCCUACGGGAGGCAGCAGUGGGGAAUAUUGCGCAAUGGGCGAAAGCCUGACGCAGCGACGCCGCGUGGGGGAUGAAGGCCUUCGGGUUGUAAACCCCUUUCAGCAGGGACGAAGCGAAAGUGACGGUACUGCAGAAGAGCGCCGGCUAACUACGCGCCAGCAGCCGC
This 472-nucleotide ribosomal RNA is filed under the name uncultured bacterium. RNAcentral describes it as "SSU rRNA". It matches the Rfam family "Bacterial small subunit ribosomal RNA", at positions 26 to 518 of the family's 1533-position model. The record is from RNAcentral.